CCUAUGCCACGGUUUACCUCCAGAAGCAUGAGGCUUGCAGGGAAACAAAGGAAAAGUGAAAUAAUAGAACAGGAAAUGAAUACUGUGUACCCAGACAGCCAUAAACCUUCAGCUGCAGACCACUGACAGAAGUCUGUAGACCACCAGUUUGGGAAACCUCUGCUUUAAACUCUAAAUGAUUCAACAUUUGUUCCCUCUGAUGACACCGCGAAUCUGGGAAUGAAGAACUUCUUAGAGCUGAUUGGAAAUGGCAUUGCGGAGCUGAAACUUAACUGGAGGAAAUAUAUCUCCUGAAGAAGAAAAUAUAAUGCACUGUAAGGAUCUGUCUUCUGGUGAAAAAUUCAAGCCUAGAGAAAACUUGUCCGCUUUGUUAGGAAGAAUGGGUUGGACAAUUUUCUUCAAUUCCAAAGGAUAUCUGAAUGCCAUGCUGAGCUUAAUCUCUGCAGCAUGCUCUGUGCUUCUCAUCUCUUCCUGAUGCACUGCAUGGUUAUCCUGAAGGGAAGGAUAAAGAAACUGGCCACCAAGAUGGUAAUCACUAGUGGAAAUGAAGAAGAUAAAGGCAGUCAAGAAAAGGAAAGCAAAGAAGAAACCAUCUUGGCAAUGCUUGGAAUUAUUGGGACAAUUCUGAACCUCAUUGUGAUCAUUUUUGUGUAUAUUUACACAACGUUGUAAACUAGAAGGCAUGCAAAUAGACCAGAUAAAAUGGCCAUUAAGAGUGACAACAAACAUUGCUGACUAUUGACAAGUUCUUUAAUCAGAAUUGACUCUGUAUUAUAUUAACACAUCAUAAAAGCACUGCCUGCAGGCAACGAAGACUGAAGCACAAUUAAUUUAACAAGACUUUUUCACACAGUAAUAAGCUUAAUUCUUCUCUCCUGCCCUCUCCCUUUCGGUUUGGUUUUCAGUUUGGGGGAGAAUGACUGCAGUUAUAUAAGUUGUAGCUUUGAAGAAAUCCACCAGGGAUAUGUUGUUUUAACACAAUUUAAAAAAAAAGAAAAAAAAAAAGAAAGGAAAAAAAAAAAGGAAAAGAAAGAAACUGUACACUAUAUAUAAUUAGAAAUGUAUGCUGUAUACCCACAAAGAUUGAACUCAAAGAUAGCUUCAUAGCACAGAUCACGUGUCUGUUAGGUCAAAUGGAUUUUUCUCUUGGUUUUUGCUUUUACUUACAUUGAAUCUGACAAGCUUUUUAUUUAGAAUGAACAUAUGGUGCGAUCAUGAAAAAAACAAUCCCAUUGAGCAAGGUCUGCCUAAACCUGAUAAAAUGUUGGGAGAAAUACACUACAUGGUUAUUUUUCCUUUCUCAUUUGCUUAACAUCUGUGUCUGUUCAUACCAAUGUUUAUAAAUAUAUAUUUUUAAUAAAUGUGCUAUAUUUUUAGCAUGAACCAAAUAUUUGGAGACACUUGUAUUCAUGCAGCUAAAUUUUGUUUGAUGAAGUGCCCCUUUUGACAAUGGAUGUUAUUUUUCUCAGCAAUUAUACAGCAGUCUUGUUUGCAGCCCUCUCACUGUGGUCUGAAGCAAGCUCACAUCAUGCUCAUAUGCAUGACUUGAAGUUGGAAUGUCAGCUGAAAAGCAUUGCUGCUUAAUACGGGAAAUAGCAAAACAUUGUAAGGUGACCUUUGGAGACUGGUUGCAGAAAGAAGGCUCUAUUUAUAGAUAAAAAAGAAAAAGCAAAUGUAAGGAAUAUUGAGGCAUCUCACAAAAUAUUGUAAAAUUCAUAGAAUUUGUGGCUUUCAAAAUCUGGUCACGCUCUCUAAGUACUUUUGCUGAGAGAAGUGAGCAGAGGUCUAUACAGCUGAAAAGAGAAAUUUAUAGAGCCUAUAGUGAGGGGCUUAAGUGAAAUCCAGAUUGUAAAUACAGAGUGUAUUUUAAAUGUGAGGAUCGUUAACUCUUUAUGCUUCUCUGACAUGUGCUUUAACUGAGUUGGUGCAGUGAAAUUCUCUGACUUGUGUUUUUGACAGGAAUGUACAAUGAUGAUGAUCAUCAUUUUUCUUCAGAGUUCAGUACCUAUAACUAUACGAAGCAUUAAAAAUAUGAGACCUCAAUUCUGCCUCAAGCUGCCUAAGUACAUUGCCCACUAACUCUGACAUAUCCUCUUAAAAAUAGGUCAAUUAAUUGUUUACUGACUUGUGAUUUGGAUUGCGUCCUCAGAUGCACAAGGAGAGCUGGUAUUGAAGUCAGCUAGAGCUGUGAAAAUUUUGACCCUAGAGUCUCAUUAAUUUUAGCGAUCAGACCUGUCCCUCCGGAAUCAAGAAUGAGUUUUUCACCAUUUUCCAGGCUCUAGGAAUGGUCUCAAAAAUACAGACUUUCACUGCAGGAUAUAAAACCAAGCCUGGAAAAUUCUGAGGGGCACCUCUUAUAACAGAGGUGUUCAGUCUCUUGUGGUAUCGUACAGUCAAUAACAAAACCAUUAAGAGUAGAAAAAAGGUCAGUAAAUAAAUUACAAUGAAAUCCAAUAUGAAGACUGAAGGAAAGUAGAGCAAAAAUAAUCUUAUGUUAAUGAAAACAUGACAGAUGAGAGAGGUGAGAAAAUGAGCAGAGAUUUGAAGCAGAAAACAGCACAGAAAGCCAGUGCCAUGCACUCCAGCAUGGCUGAGGAAACAUUUGUGUUUGCAUGGUGCUGGUAGAGCUGCAGGUCUCAGAGAAGACAAGAAACAGUAGUGGCACAUGAUAGUGUAGCUCAGUGAAGGUGAUCUUGUUUUUUAAUUUAUAGUUACUUAUUGAUAAUUUUAAGGAAUCAGAAAACUCUACUUUUUGAUCAUCCUGAUGGCUAAAAUAUAUUUUGCUCCACUAGGCAUUUUUUCUUCUGUUUAAACUAUUGCUGCUCACAGCCUGCGGCUCUGAGCACCUGCACAUGCUCCAGGCACCAGCCUAACUUCAGGCCACCCCCUGCCUGCCAGGACCUUCUCUGCAGAUAUUUCUCUUGAAUUUCUCCCCCUCCAUUUCCCAGCAAACACCACAGCAAUCUGCCUGAGGCUCGUGCUCAUCUUCUAGAGGGUCAGCCUCUGAGUCAAAAGAUGAGCUCUCAUGCCAGAUACUUCUUUGUCUCCCUCUGCAUCAAAUGGUAGUACCUGUCAUCCUCUUGUGGGCAUGAAGAUGCUUAAUGAAUCAAAUCUCAUUAAGGGCUUAUACUAAUAUUACAAAUUAAAGCUCUGCAUUGUAAAACAGCAUAGGAUACCUCACCCACUAAAGUAAAGUAGGAACUUUUGCUGCUCAUCGCAGUUGCACUUAUUCAGACACGGGCCAGCACCUUCAACAAGACAGGCACUGCAAAUAGCCCAAAUAAGCUGAAAUGGUGGAUCAAGAGCCUAAGGAUUCCAUGUUUCCUCUGCUGUACUUUGCCUGUUAGUCUUGAUGUAGGCAGUGUGUCCAGGUAUACUAUCAUCCUACCCCAGCAGCAGCCCUGUGCAGUGUGCUUUGCCACAGGACUUUUAUUCCUCUGAAAGAGGAAGAAAGGUUUAUCCCAUUCCAUAAAAAGUUUAACACUUAAUAUUUUAGCUUUACAGGUUUCUGUUCACAGAUAGUUCUAGAAAUAUCCUGGGGCAAGUUAUUCUUAAGUAGAUUCAUUAAGUAUUCAUUUAAAUAAAAAUGAAGAGUUUCCUUCGAGGGCAAUUUCUUUACCUUUUAUUUGGUAUUCAUGAACACUGAUGGGGGAAAAGUAUUUUUUCGAGAAUGACAGUGGAAGAGGAAUAUUUUAUACAAGGACCUGAAGGUGUGCCUACCCAGGAAGUUGUGGGCAGGCCUGCUCUUCGCUCAGUGACAGCUGGAGCCAAAUUACCCUCAUGCUUUUUUUUGAAUGCACCUGUAAGAACUAUUCAACUAGGUAACAUAUAUGUCAUGAAUAUAUUAUAGUCAAUAGCUGCUCUAUAAACAGUUGAAUAAAACUUCAAGAGUUGAAUUGCAAAUCUACUUUGGCAAGGAAAAAUCCAACUGUCUCAUUUUUGGCUUGACUUGUACAUAAUGCAAAUAGUUUCUAAAGUAAAUUUUAAAAAAUGGAAUGUUAGUCCAUUAGUGACAGGAACUUCCAUCUUUGCAUUUGAGUAGAAGGAAAUUAAUAUCCAAUAUCAUAAAAAGAUAUUAAAGCAUCACCUUUUGCUUCAGUCAACUAAGAAUAUGAUUACAUAUGAUAUGUAGUUUGAUGGUUUGUGUCAUGGGAAUGAAAAAUAUUUUCAUGAGGUGACAGAAAGGUGACAUUGUCCCCACUGGUAUCUGGUGUGUUGGCUGGUGGGUACAGAAGACUUUCAAGAAGGGAGAAGAUAAAAUUAUUCAUUUUACACACAACAACAUGGGGAGAAAGAAGACAAACAAGCUACUGCCCUCCUCUCUGGUUCCUACAACUGAUAUUGAAAACUUGACUCUCAGGAACCACAUCUUUAUACUGGAAUGUAUCAUCCUGUGUGUUGGCUGUCAGGGCAGUCCUUUCAGUUAUGUACCUUCUGCUCCUUCCACCUGCACCUCUGCAGCAGUGUGUGGCUCAUUGUGCCUGAGGAGAGUUUGAACACAAACCCAGCCUGGCAGCCUCUGGAAGCAGUAGUUUUGCUUUACUGUGAUGUAACAGUCUACUACGGGCCUGAGAUUUAUUAUUUUAAGGACAGUCAGUAAUCAUCAUCAUGUUACUGUCUGACAAUCUUGGGAAUACAUCACUUGUUGAAUUCCCAGAAAAAUCCCACCCCUGGCCCACAGGUAAAAUUUUGUUCAGUAGGCAUCAAAAUACGAAAGAAAGCUUCAGUUACAUCACAACCGAACUUCAGUAUGAAGCGUUGCUUAAAUCCAUGUGUCUUAUAUUUCCACUUAAUCUGUACACUGGAGCUCACCCCAAAUGCCCCAAGAUCUAAUAUGUGUCAAGAGGUCUCAUCUCUUCUGAGUCAGAACUACCAUUUCUGUGUGAAUUACGGCAUAUGCAGAGAACUUGGUCCAUAGAAGGAAAGGAUAAAAAUUAACUGAGUUAAAACUCCAGGGAGGCAGCACUGCACAAUUUACUAAUUAGUUUGAGGUUUAGCUGGAGUACUUUGUUUCUGGAUAGCCAGUAUUCUGGAGAAAAGAUGUUAUUGUUCCCUAGAAAGUUUCUGGAAGAAAUAUGUCUAAUUGAAAGAACCACAUUGAAAAUAUUUCAGCAGCAAUCUUCUGAAGAAAACACUGACCAGAACUGUGAGUGGCUUGCUUCCCAAGAGUACUGUUUGGCAGCCCAGGAACACAGUGCACAUACAUGCAAGCACCUCUUGUUUACUUAGAUGCUUUGUCUUUGGAACAGAAUGCACAGAUUUACAGAGAUUUACAAGUGUAUGAAAUAGCACAUUAUGCAACAUCAAUAACGAAGAAAUCUGUUUACCUUUAUUUCCAGCAGAUACACUGCAGGCACUCUGCAGAACCUGCACUGCUUCUAUGCCUGGCUGUGUGUUUUGGAGGCUCAUCCCAAAAGGUCUUAUAAACUCAGUGUUUCUUUCCCCACCACUGAUCCAAGAGAAACAAAACCUAUUCAAUGUGAAAACCUCCACACCAGACUGAAAUGCCACAUGCUUCCAUCUGCAUUUAUCUACAUAUGAGCCAUCUGGUAUCCAAUAAGACUUUCCUUGUCUUAGGCAUUAGGUUUGCUUAUCUGCAUUUCACCUGGGGACUCAGAGAGUGAAAGGCAAUUUGUAGAGCUGAAAGCACCCAACUGUUUCCAAUGAUCUAGCUGUACAUAAUGGAGCUGUCACCUGGAGGGUGGCUGUUCACGUGCAUAGCACACCACACACCAUCCUCCUUGUGUGGUCUCACACUGACCCAGCCUCUGUGACACCCAGGGGGUGGGGCUGGGCUGUAACUGGCCCAUAUAGCCAAAAAAGUGUGCAAGAGAGAGUGUUCUGUGCAAAAGCCUGGAUCCCAAGUCAAGCUCUGUGGAGUGAAAGGACAUUCUGCCUUGUUCACAGAAAGGCACAUAGCUGUGUCCACCGGGACCCUUCUGCAACCUGUCCCAGUUCAGCUGAAGGUGACCCAUGCACCACACUGACCCUCUUGUGGCAGCUGCAGAACUUCCUUCCCCUGAGGGAAGUAAACAGCUCUGGACUUUCCUGAUCUCCUAGAACAGGGAGCAAAGUGACUUUUGCACGGCAGAAAUAGCAGCAGGACCAUCCAUUUCUGGCUGACAAUGACAAAGCCACCUGUCUAGAGUGCUGAUGGGAACCCUUUUCCCACCCAUCAUUCCUCAUACUCUGGGAAAUGCAAGUUAAUUACCUGGACUCCAGGUUCUUCUCCACAGGCUCAGUCACCAUUUAGACUCAGGCAGAUUUCUUUCAUGAUGCUGAGACUUUGUUGAACUCAAAUGGCUCCUGGAGCCAGGUCUGCAGGAACAUAUCAAAUAUCGUGUUACCUUAAUCUGGCCUCGGUAUCGUGAAGGUGUCAUUGUAACAAGUCUUGGGCAUUGUCCAUCUCUGCCAACAAGGUGUUAAGGGAAAAGCAUUAGCAAGGGACACCAUAUGGGAGCCAUGGGCAGCCAGAGGUAAUGCACAGGGGCUGCUUUCCCCAGCACUUACCCUCCUGAGGAGCAGUGGUGUUAUGGUGGAUUGAUAUUGGUGGUGGGUAAAUGUAAUAAAAUGUUUGUGUAGCAGGGUGUGAUUUCUCACCUUUACUUCCUGCAAAAUUAAUGGGAAAGGCUUUAUAAAGAAUUCUGGCUUUGUCAACUUAAAAUAUGGAUUAAAAUUUACUAUAUAUGUUUUCAAAUUUUAA
This is a long non-coding RNA of Corvus hawaiiensis (hawaiian crow), 6703 nucleotides long. RefSeq lists it as uncharacterized. The transcript has 4 exons. Lineage: Eukaryota; Metazoa; Chordata; Aves; Passeriformes; Corvidae. The record is from RefSeq and is a predicted model, not a curated record.